CAGGGGGGUCCUUAUGGGGUCAGGGGGGUGUUGGGAUAUGGGGUCACAGAUCUGCCCCUUCUGGAUCCAAUUCCUGCCCAAGCUGCUCAAUGCCACCGGUAUGGGGGACUUAUGGGGUCUUUAUAGGGUCAGGGGGUCCUAUGGGGUCCUAAUAGGGUCAGGAGGACCUUAUGGGGUCAGGGGGGUCUUUAUGGGGUCAGGGGGCGUUGGGAUGUGGGGUCACAGAUCUGUGCUGUCUGGACCCGAUUCCUGCCCAAGGUCUUUAUGGGGUCUUUAUAGGGUCAGAGGGUCCUAAUAGGGUUGGGAGGUCCUUAUGGGGUCAGGGGGGUGUUGGGAUGUGGGGUCACAGAUCUGCGCCUUCUGGACCCGAUUCCUGCCCAAGCUGCUCAAUGCCACCGGUAGGGGGGACUUAUGGGGUCUUUAUGGGGUCUUUAUAGGGUCAGGAGGUCCUUAUGGGGUCAGUGGGGUCCUUAUGGGGUCAGAGGGAUGUAGGGAUGUGGGGUCACAGAUCUGCACCUUCUGGACCCGAUUCCUGCCCAAGCUGCUCAACGCCACCGGUCCUCCGGAAGACGCGGAACGCGAAUGGCGGCUGGAAUUCCACCGCUGGAGUUCCUACAUGGGCCGCUGGAGGACUCAGUUCGAGCACUACAGCCGGCAGCAGCCCUGCGCCACACUCUGAGACACCCCAACAACAGCCGGAGGUGUCACCAGCACCCGGAGCUGUCACCUACAAUGUCCCCAACACCGUCACCAACACCCAAAGCUGUCACCAACAACACCCAGAGGAUCCCCAACACCCGGAGCUGUCACCUGCUAUGUCCCCAACACCGUCACCAACACCCAGAGAUGUCACCUACAAUGUCCCCAACACCGUCACCAACACCCAGAGCUGUCGCCAACAACACCCAGAGGAUCCCCAACACCCGGAGCUGUCACCUGCAAUGUCCCCAACACCGUCACCGACACCUGGAGCUCUCACCAACACCCAAAGCUGUCGCCAACAACACCCAGAGAGUCCCCAACACCCGGAGCUGUCACCUACAAUGUCCCAACACCGUCACUGACACCUGGAGCUGUCACCAACAAUGUCACCAACACCUGGACUUGUCCCCUACACCCAAAGGUGUCCCCAGCAACACCCAGAGGUGUGCCCAACACCCGGAGCUGUCACCACUAAUGUCACCAACACCUGGAGAUGUCAACAACACCCAGAGCUGUCACCAACAACACCCAGAGGAUCCCCAACACCUGGACCUGUCCCCAACACCGUCACCAACACCCGGAGCCAUCCUCAGUGUUGUCACCACUCCCAACACCUGGACCCGUCACCAACACCCAGAGGUUUCCCCAACAACACCCAGAGGGUCUCCAACACCCGGAGCUGUCACCAACACCGUCACCAACACCCGGAGCCAUCCUCAGAUUUGUCACCAUCCCCAACACCUGGACCUGUCCCCAACACUGUCACCAACACCUGGAGGUGUCACCAACACCUGGAGUGUCCCCAGCAUCGUCACCAACACCCAGAGCUGUCACCAACACCCGGAGCUGUCACCAACACCGUUCCCAACACCUGGAGCCAUCCUCCUCAGUGUUGUCACCAUCUCCAACACCUGGAAUUGUCCCCAACACCUGGGGGUGUCCCCAACACCUGGACCUGUCCCCGGCACUGUCAGCAACACCCGGAGGUGUCACCAACACCUGGAGUGUCCCCAACACCGUCACCAACGCCCAGACCUGUCCCCAACACCCGGAGCCAUCUUCAGUGUUGUCACCAAACCCAACACCCGGAAUUGUCCCCAACACCUGGGGGUGUCCCCUACACCGUUCCCAGCACCCCGAGUGUCCCCAACACCUGGACCUGUCUCCAACACCAUCACCAACACCCGGAGCUGUCACCAACAUUGUCCCCAACACCCAGAGCCAUCCCCGGUGUUGUCACCAACCCCAACACCCGGACCUGUCCCCAACACCCAGACCCAUCCCCAACAGUCGGACCCGUCCCCAACAGUCAGACCUGUCCCCAGCAGUUGGACCCGUCCCCAACAGUCGGACGUGUCCCAACAGUCAGACCCGUCCCCAACAGUCAGACAUUUCCCCAACAGUCAGACCUGUCCCCAACACCCGGACCUGUCCCCAACACCCGGAUGUAUCCCCAACACCUGGACCUGUCCCCAACAGUCAGACGUGUCCCAACAAUCAGACCUGUCCCCAACACCUGGAGCUGUCCCCAACAUUGUCCCCAACACCCAGAGCCAUCCCCGGUGUUGUCACCAACCCCAACACCCGGACCUGUCCCCAACACCCAGACCCAUCCCCAACAGUCGGACCCGUCCCCAACAGUCAGACCUGUCCCCAGCAGUCGGAUGUGUCCCCAACAGUCGGACGUUUCCCCAACACCUGGACCUGUCCCCAACAGUCGGACGUGUCCCAACAGUCAGACCCGUCCCCAACAGUCAGACAUGUUCCCAACAGUCAGAUGUGUCCCCAACACCUGCACCUGUCCCCAACACCCGGACCUGUCCCCGGACCCGUCCCCAACAGUCAGACCCCUCCCCAACACCCGAACCCGUCCCCAACAGUCGGACAUUUCCCCAACAGUCGGACAUGUCCUCAACAGUCAGACCCAUCCCCAACAGUUUGACCUGUCCCCAACAGUCAGAUGUGUCCCAACAGUCGGACAUGUCCCCAGCAGUCAGAGCUGUCCCCAACAGUCGGACGUGUCCCCAACACCAUCACCAACAGUCAGAUGUGUCCCCAACACCCGCACCCGUCCCCAACAGUCGGACGUUUCCCCAACAGUCGGACCUGUCCCCAACAUUGUCCCCAACGCCCGCCGCCAUCACCGCUCCUGUCACCCUACCAACACCCACAGUUGUCCCCACUGCUGUCCCUGUCACCAACACCCGCAGCUCUGAUUGUCCCCACAGCGCCCCAUAA
Molecule: long non-coding RNA, 2940 nt
Filed under: Chrysolophus pictus (golden pheasant)
Lineage: Eukaryota; Metazoa; Chordata; Aves; Galliformes; Phasianidae
Description: lncRNA (ENSCPIG00010007666.1)
Source: RNAcentral